UGGCAGCGUCCCCUCUCCCGUCGCUGCUUUCUCUCAAGUUCACUUCAUCGGCUUCCGGCCCACGAGAACAAACCGAACGGAAACAGGAAUUGAGGUGAGCAGAAGUUGAGGGUGGCGGUGAAGCCGCCGGAGAUACCAAAGCUAGUGCUUCUGCGGUUCACAUGAACGGAGAAGAACACGGAGCUCGCGCCGGAACAGGUGAUCCCGGGCGGCCAAGGUGCCAUUCCCACUGAUCCCCUACUACUUCUGGCGCCGCAGGAACCCGAGGAAGGAGCUCAAAGUCCAAGAUCACCGAUCGACAGUGAACCUCUGCCAGUAGAGCGGCAGCAACAUGUAGAUCCCUCUUCCUCUCGUCCCAUACCUUCAAGAAUCUUCAGUUCGAUGCAAAAAAAUCUCGAACUUGUCACUGUAGAAGUGUUUCUCUAUAAAAGGAGGACUUCAAGUUGACUUU
This is a long non-coding RNA of Musa acuminata subsp. malaccensis (wild Malaysian banana), 451 nucleotides long. RefSeq lists it as uncharacterized. NCBI's taxonomy places the organism in Eukaryota, Viridiplantae, Streptophyta, Magnoliopsida, Zingiberales, Musaceae. The record is from RefSeq and is a predicted model, not a curated record.